CAAUGUAAUAGAGCAGCAGGAAAUGCUAGCAGAAUGCUUGGUUGUAUAGGGAGAGGUAUUAGCAGUAGAAAGAGGGAAGUGCUCAUGCCAUUGUACAGAACACUGGUGAGACCUCACUUGGAGUAUUGUACACAGUACUGGAGACCGUAUCUUCAGAAGGAUAUCGAUACCUUAGAGAGGGUUCAGAGAAGGGCUACUAAACUGGUUCAUGGAUUGCGGGAUAAAACUUACCAGGAAAGGUUAAAGGAUCUUAACAUGUAUAGCUUGGAGGAAAGACGAGACAGGGGGGAUAUGAUAGAAACAUUUAAAU
Molecule: non-coding RNA, 310 nt
Organism: Pelobates cultripes (western spadefoot toad)
Lineage: Eukaryota; Metazoa; Chordata; Amphibia; Anura; Pelobatidae
Source: the annotation of a GenBank genome assembly